Vanessa atalanta (red admiral) is the source of this 220-nucleotide long non-coding RNA. RefSeq lists it as uncharacterized. NCBI's taxonomy places the organism in Eukaryota, Metazoa, Arthropoda, Insecta, Lepidoptera, Nymphalidae. The record is from RefSeq and is a predicted model, not a curated record. The transcript has 3 exons.
CUUGGUCAUAUCGAUACAUGUAACAAUGGCGGCCAGUCCUGAUCCUACAUUGCUGCAAUGGUUGGUAUCUACAAACGACGUUAAACAAUUAUGGGCAGCUCAACCGAUUUUUUUGAUCUCACAGGCGGUCUACAUCCUUGCGGGUGUUAUAACUUUAAUACACGCAUUCAGCAAGGGUGGGCGGUGGCCUUAUUUUUGGCUCGGGACCGUACUGCAUGGA